RNAcentral lists this ribosomal RNA (1010 nucleotides) under Platyphytoptus sabinianae. Its description in RNAcentral is "eukaryotic LSU rRNA". It matches the Rfam family "Eukaryotic large subunit ribosomal RNA", at positions 56 to 632 of the family's 3401-position model. The record is from RNAcentral. Lineage: Eukaryota; Metazoa; Arthropoda; Arachnida; Trombidiformes; Eriophyidae.
GAAAAGAAAGCAAAAGCGAUUUCCCAAGUAACGGCGAGUGAACAGGAAUAAGCCUAGCGCUAAGGCUCAAUAGGAUGGUUGGCAGCAAUGUUGAUCGUCGUUUUCGACAAGCUAUUGAGCGGUGCAGCGUUACAAACCGCGAUGUUUAGUGGUGCCAUUGGUAGUAAGUUGAAAGAUUUGCUACUCCUAGCCUAGCAUGCAAGUUCCAUUGACUUGGACUAAUUGCAAAUGACUACUUAGUUGGGGCAACUUGAUUGAGUGGUUGAGCCAGAGUGGGUGAAAGCCCUAUACCGUGCAGGCAUUGGCAUUACGAAUUGCGGAUGGGCCGCAAGGUUCAACUUUGUUAGAGUCGAGUUGCUUGAGAGUGCAACUUAAAGUGCGAGGUAAACUACUCGUAAGGCUACGCAAUACGGCUACGACACCGAUAGCAAACAAGUACCGUGAGGGAAAGUUGAAAUAGAACUUUGCAGAGAGAGUUAACAGGGCGUGAAACCGUUAAUUGGCAAACGAAUCGGAGCCACGAAGUCGUUUCGCUGAUAAGUUGGGCCAAGUUCAGCUCAGGAGAAAUCUUGGGUGUAUUCUUGUCAGUCCAACCAUCAUUGUAAGCGUACACUGCAACCAGUUAGACGAUUGGAGGUGGGCUCAGUUUGCCGGUGAUGGGGCAACUCAAAGCCGGUAGGCGAAGUACUUGUUUACCCGGGUUAGUAGUAGCAUGUUUGUACCUCGGUGCCGAUGUGCUGCUGGGCCUGUGGUGAGUGAACUAUUUCCAAAUACUGACUGGCAAAAUGAAAAUCGCCUUGUGCGUUGCAUAGAAGGCAGCAGUUUGCAUUAGUGUCUACAUCAUUGACCAUGGGGUUUUAAGCUCAGCAUCUUCGAAUUUGGACUUGCUGGCUACCAAUGGGGCAACUCUUGGUGCCAGUAUAGCUUUCAUCUAAUCAGGUGUUGACUUGAUCCUGUGUCGUUCGGUGGUGCUACGAUCGGGCGGUAAUGUAAGAUUGUUUGCCAUAGAU